UCCAACACUGGUUACUCAAUGAACCACCUUCUCUGUGAUUAAUUGAAAUGCCACCUUCACAUACACAGACACUCGUAGGGCCUAUCCACUGGGUCACUCUCUCUGCCUUGCCUCUUGUAGCUUUAAAACUCAAUUCAAUAUUUGUUAAGACCCUUCUCUGCCUGCACUACUGUCCUUUUUCAGAAGUUUCCUGUAUUGUUACAAAUUGAUUUCCAAUUGAACUUUACUUUCCUUUUUUAAGUUUCCCUCAAAAAAGUCUAUCUGGAAACGUUAUUAACAUCAUAUUGAUAUUAUAGACUUUAUUAAUUUAGGGAGAAUAUAUGUCUUCAUAAUAUUAAAUAUUUCACCUAAAGAUUGAGAUAUUAAUGAAAUUAAAUAAACGCAUGGGAGUGGGAUGGAGGGCUGUGUGUGAGGGAUGGAUUAUUAAAGUGGUCCAUAAAUAUAUUUUAUGUCACUUAAAAAUAAUGUAGAAUUCCUCACAGCCAUCUUGAAAAACAGAGUGUAUAUAUAGCUCAAUAAACAAACAUUGACUAUAAUAAUAUUCCAGUGAGAAAAUAUUUUGCUUCUACAAAUAAAAAUAUGUGGCCAUUAAAAGGAUUUCUUGAGCAGAGUCCUCCACAUUGCAAAAUUCUAUAAACAGAAACCAACAUUUUUAUAACCAGAAUACCCUAAAGGGCAAUGAAUUACUUCAUCUCCCACACGAAACAACCCUAGCAUGAAAUUAGGGGGUGACAUCAUAGAAGGCCCCAGUCCAUCAUAUUAAAAUAUGUAGAGUAGAACAAAAGAGUCAUAGUCUAUCUUUUAUCACAUUUUAUGACGUGAAGUUUGAAAUGCAGGAUGCGUCAACCUAUUAGCAGAAGGAGUAAGAGCUACACCCUUUAACAAGUUGCAAGAACCAGUAACAGACCCAGGAAUAAAUAUGAAUGCCUGAUCACCACAAGAUGCGCUCUGUCAAGAUGUCUUCCACUGUGACAUUUGGGUAAAAAUCCAGACGGCAAAAUGACAGAAGAGCUCUGGAUUUGAAACCAGAAAAUCCAGUUUCAUGUUCUAGUUAUUCAGCCAGUAGUUUAAUCUCUGUGAGCCUCAUCAAUAAAGUGAGGAUGAUGGAGCCUCUCAAAGUCCUUGAGAACAUCCCAUGAAACUAGACGUUGAAACUGCUUUACAUAACAUAAAGCGCCAUACUAACUAUAAAAUCACCCCAAUUUGUUGUCAGUUAGGCAGAGUAGCGUUUCCUUCAAAAAUAUGCAGAUCAUUUCUCAAAAGUCUUCCUGUUCCCAGUAGAUGCCAGCUGACUUCACAAGCUAAAAGUCGGUUGUAAACAGCUGUCCUGCAGUAGAUGGACAAGCCUCAAGCUGCUCCUCCUCUGCUCAGGCGCCCAGCGUGAACAGCAAAGAGGCCUGGGAACUCACUUUCUCUCUUUGUGUUGCUGCCCACCAUCUGUUUCUUGCAGCACAGGAAUCUUCAUCUAGAAAUCUCUGCAUUGCCUCUGCUUUUCCCCAACCAUCAUAGUUUCUUCUUUCUUUACAUAUCAGCCACCAUGACGAUGUUUAUUAACCCAACUACAAGAAAUGUUGAAAAAGAG
This 1582-nucleotide long non-coding RNA is filed under the name Equus asinus (donkey). RNAcentral's name for it is "lncRNA (ENSEASG00005028628.1)". Lineage: Eukaryota; Metazoa; Chordata; Mammalia; Perissodactyla; Equidae. The record is from RNAcentral.